Populus trichocarpa (black cottonwood) is the source of this 521-nucleotide long non-coding RNA. RefSeq lists it as uncharacterized. The transcript has 3 exons. The record is from RefSeq and is a predicted model, not a curated record. NCBI's taxonomy places the organism in Eukaryota, Viridiplantae, Streptophyta, Magnoliopsida, Malpighiales, Salicaceae.
GGAGGGGAGGAGAAUUUCAUAUUUUUCCUUCAUCAAAACUAGGAGUAAACACUUAAAAUUAGUAAACCCAAAUAAGCCUUGGAAUUAUUAAGUGGAGGAACACAAUCGGGUGGAAGAAUUAACAAGAAGAAAAGUGAAGAGUUGGUGAAGAAAAGAGGGGGAAGAGUGGCUGACUACAUACAAGGAGAAGAAGGCUAAGAUUCUUCUAAAAAUUUGUGAAGUAAAGUUUAGAUUUCCAUCCAAGAGGAACCGCGGGAGGAGUACAGCAACCACAGGGGAACGCAAGUCGAGCGUCUACAGCAGGUCCCUCCCAUUCACGUCAGGAAUAGAUUUUAAGUUCUUUGAUCCCUUUUUGUAUAAGUUAAGAACUUAGGGAUUUGUGGUGUAAUUUUGUCAUGCAGUAAACAUGUAACCUGUAUAGAAUAUUAUAUUCGUAAUAUUUUGUUUCUGAAAUAUUAAAUGUAUCCACCUAUGCUUGGGAUAUUAGAAUGUACUAGACUAUGUUAGAAUAUUAAACUGUG